CGUAGGGUGCGAGCGUUGUCCGGAAUUACUGGGCGUAAAGAGCUCGUAGGUGGUUUGUCGCGUUGUCCGUGAAAACUCACAACUCAAUUGUGGGCGUGCGGGCGAUACGGGCAGACUGGAGUACUGCAGGGGAGACUGGAAUUCCUGGUGUAGCGGUGGAAUGCGCAGAUAUCAGGAGGAACACCGGUGGCGAAGGCGGGUCUCUGGGCAGUAACUGACGCUGAGGAGCGAAAGCGUGGGGAGCGAACAGGAUUAGAUACCCUGGUAGUCCACGCCGUAAACGGUGGGUACUAGGUGUGGGUUUCCUUCCUUGGGAUCCGUGCCGUAGCUAACGCAUUAAGUACCCCGCCUGGGGAGUACGGCCGCAAGGCUA
Molecule: ribosomal RNA, 373 nt
Filed under: uncultured organism
Description: bacterial SSU rRNA
Rfam family: Bacterial small subunit ribosomal RNA
Source: RNAcentral